AUUUGCGACCUAAUGCUAGCGGGCACUCAACCAGUGAAUGCUCCACAGCAGGAAGUGCAUGCUGACAUCACAGAGGAAAAACCAUACAGACAGGUUCAUCUUGGACCCAAUGCGAGGAAGGAGACGAGGACAGAAAUACUGGAGGGAGAUAUGGUGGCCACCUACCGCGAGGCGUAUAGCACACAAUGACCACAGAUAGGACAAGGACAAGAUGUGGACAAGGUCAGG
Molecule: long non-coding RNA, 228 nt
Organism: Strongylocentrotus purpuratus (purple sea urchin)
Lineage: Eukaryota; Metazoa; Echinodermata; Echinoidea; Camarodonta; Strongylocentrotidae
Exons: 2
Source: RefSeq, a predicted model, not a curated record